This is a long non-coding RNA of Sardina pilchardus (European sardine), 1545 nucleotides long. RefSeq lists it as uncharacterized. The transcript has 3 exons. NCBI's taxonomy places the organism in Eukaryota, Metazoa, Chordata, Actinopteri, Clupeiformes, Clupeidae. The record is from RefSeq and is a predicted model, not a curated record.
CUGAAACCAACAGGUGCCCUCAACAAAGCAACAGUAACGCCAAAGGAAGGCUGAGGAGGCAACACAAUUAAGAGCAUAGGAUAUUAAAUUUAACCGAACAGGCUUUCUUCCACAUUGCAACGACCACUCUAAAGAUGUCCGUUAAACUGACCUUCGUGAAGUUGGCGAGCAGAGGCAUCACCGUGCUUUGUGCGAGCGCGUCCACCCCUGCCCUAGCGUCAAUCGCAGUGGUGGUUGUGUGCGGACUACUAUAUUUUGCAAAGACAUCUACAAACCCCACAUACUGACCAACUCUGACAAACCAGAUUGUCAGCUAAGAGAGAAAAAAGCCUGCUGCAGGAUUCAAAAUGGAUUCCACUGCAUCCUGUACAAAGACUUGACCAAAAGAUGGCACUGUUUGUAUGAUCUGCCACUUGCGUUUUACAAAUGGUGCCAAAAGUUCAGUCCGUGAUUGUUAUCCAGACUUUUCUCUUGAAUUUAGGGAAUUUAUCAUUGUCACAUAAAUGUCUGCGUUGGUGUCUAAAAAAUGAAAAACAAACGGCCUGGUGGCUCAGAAUGACCUCUGAACAGUCCUUUGCAAAUAACAAGGUGCUCCAUCGGCAUGUAGAGUGAUGCAGUUGAUAUGCUGUUGAGCUCAAACAUCAGCAAUCCUUCUCAACCAAAUCACGGGCAGUACCUUCAAUGUAGGCCUAAGCUUACUGGCUACACGCUAUUCUACCUGUCAGGUUUCUUGAUUUGAUUUGUGCGGGCUCAUGUUAUAGUAUAUCACGAGUACUCGCUCAUUGGUAUUUCCUCAUUUCCUUAUAAAAAGUUAUUUUUGUAUAGGCAUUUCUCUUUGCUCUGCGGGGAUCUUUUGGGUUCGGUGUGUUCACUUUUUGUUUACAUUCUUUAAUUGUGUGUGUGUACCCAAGACCAAAUCUCAGCAGAGAUGCAGGGUGACCUCCCUGGAAAAGUCUGGACCAGAACCAUCUGCUACUGUCCUGCUACUCAUCCCUGUUCUUUUACCCUUCCUGUAUCUAGGGCAGGGGUCUCCAACAGGUAGUUUGCGAGCUACCAGUAGCUCCCAAUCUGUUUCUAAGUAGCUCUCCGAAAGAUUUGAGGAAGAUGUUCAUAAAUGACAAGUGACAACCCAGUCACAAAUUCAGUCUAGAAAGAGAGAAGGUAAAUUAGUUGAAAGGAACCUUUAAAAUGCACGCAAAUCUUAUUCAGCUGUUUUGGAUGGAGAUCAUCUAUAUGAAUACAUGGCAUGAUACUACUAACAAAAAAAGCUCACAGCCAUGUAGCUCUCGGAGGAAAAAAGGUUGGAGACCCCCGAUCUAGGAGCUACACCUCUGUCACUUCAUGCACUGUACUGUAUCUAGUUCUGCUGUCCUGUAUGAGUGACCUUUGAUCACUCAGUGCUGAUAGAUAGAUAGAUAGAUCAUUCAUUGCCACACAGCAAUGUUAUCAGCCUCACAGUUAGUGCUUAAUAGAAUAAAUCUGGUGUAUCACCUCUGUAAUGUGUACUGUAUGCUUAUGUUUUAAAGCCAUGUAUAAAAGCUAAGA